UCCCCUCCCUCCUCCCAGGGGGCGGAGCGAAGAGGAGGAGAAACAGGCAGGCUACUUUCGAAAGGUAGGAGCCGCGCGCUCACCGCCCAGGCCCGGCUAUUCCCGUCAGGGCUUUACGCGAGUGGCGUAGCGCGGGAUGGGUGGGGUGGAGGCCAAGGGAGGAAAGCGGCGCCUUUUCUUUUUUUUUACGACGGCGACGUUGCUUGGCGGCCGCACCAGGCAGCGCCCCCCAGCGAGGAGCGUAAGGCCCGGUGGCAGGCUUUGGGCUUUCUCCAGCAGU
RNAcentral lists this long non-coding RNA (280 nucleotides) under Naja naja (Indian cobra). Its description in RNAcentral is "lncRNA (ENSNNAG00000016949.1)". Lineage: Eukaryota; Metazoa; Chordata; Lepidosauria; Squamata; Elapidae. The record is from RNAcentral.